CCUACGGGUGGCAGCAGUGAGGAAUAUUGGUCAAUGGCCGGAAGGCUGAACCAGCCAUGCCGCGUGAAGGUCAGUGCCCUAUGGGCGUUAAACUUCUUUUGUGCGGGAGCAAUAAUGGUCACGUGUGGCCAGACGAGAGUACCGUACGAAUAAGCAUCGGCUAACUCCGUGCCAGCAGCCGCGGUAAUACGGGGGAUGCAAGCGUUAGCCGGAUUUAUUGGGUUUAAAGGGUGCGUAGGCUGUGAGGUAAGUCAGCGGUGAAAUGCCCCCGCUCAACGGGGUGAAGUGCCAUUGAUACUGCCUGGCUGGAAUGCGGAUGCCGUGGGAGGAAUGUGUGGUGUUGCGGUGAAAUGCAUAGAUAUCACACAGAACACCGAUUGCGAAGGCAUCUCACGAAUCCGCGAUUGACGCUGAUGCACGAAAGCGUGGGUAUCAAACAGGAUUAGAUACCCCAGUAGUC
RNAcentral lists this ribosomal RNA (460 nucleotides) under uncultured bacterium. RNAcentral's name for it is "partial 16S ribosomal RNA". It matches the Rfam family "Bacterial small subunit ribosomal RNA", at positions 338 to 795 of the family's 1533-position model. The record is from RNAcentral.